This 69-nucleotide transfer RNA is filed under the name Bombus pratorum. RNAcentral's name for it is "tRNA-Leu". The record is from RNAcentral. Lineage: Eukaryota; Metazoa; Arthropoda; Insecta; Hymenoptera; Apidae.
AUUAUAUUAGCAAAUUAGUGCAUUAAAUUUAGAAUUUAAAUAAAUUAUAAAAAACUAUAAUAUAUAAUA